Molecule: ribosomal RNA, 468 nt
Filed under: uncultured bacterium
Lineage: Bacteria
Description: partial 16S ribosomal RNA
Rfam family: Bacterial small subunit ribosomal RNA
Source: RNAcentral
GACGAACGCUGGCGGCGUGCUUAACACAUGCAAGUCGAACGGAAAGGCCCUGCUUUUGUGGGGUGCUCGAGUGGCAAACGGGUGAGUAACACGUGAGUAACCUGCCCUUGACUUUGGGAUAACUUCAGGAAACUGGGGCUAAUACCGGAUAGGAGCUCCUGCUGCAUGGUGGGGGUUGGAAAGUUUCGGCGGUUGGGGAUGGACUCGCGGCUUAUCAGCUUGUUGGUGGGGUAGUGGCUUACCAAGGCUUUGACGGGUAGCCGGCCUGAGAGGGUGACCGGCCACAUUGGGACUGAGAUACGGCCCAGACUCCUACGGGAGGCAGCAGUGGGGAAUAUUGCACAAUGGGCGGAAGCCUGAUGCAGCAACGCCGCGUGCGGGAUGACGGCCUUCGGGCUGUAAACCGCUUUCGCCUGUGACGAAGCGUGAGUGACGGUAAUGGGUAAAGAAGCACCGGCUAACUACGUG